AUGCGAAAGCGUGGGGAGCAAACAGGAUUAGAUACCCUGGUAGUCCACGCUGUAAACGAUGUCGAUUUGGAGUUUGUUGCCUAGAGUGAUGGGCUCCGAAGCUAACGCGAUAAAUCGACCGCCUGGGGAGUACGGCCGCAAGGUUAAAACUCAAAUGAAUUGACGGGGGCCCGCACAAGCGGUGGAGCAUGUGGUUUAAUUCGAUGCAACGCGAAGAACCUUACCUGGUCUUGACAUCCAUAGAAUUCUGCAGAGAUGUGGGAGUGCCUUCGGGAACUAUGAGACAGGUGCUGCAUGGCUGUCGUCAGCUCGUGUUGUGAAAUGUUGGGUUAAGUCCCGCAACGAGCGCAACCCUUAUUCUUUGUUGCCAGCGAUUUGGUCGGGAACUCAAAGGAGACUGCCGUUGAUAAAGCGGAGGAAGGUGAGGACGACGUCAAGUCAUCAUGGCCCUUACGACCAGGGCUAUACACGUGCUACAAUGGCGUAUACAAAGGGAAGCGAAGGUGCGAGCUGGAGCGGAUCUCAUAAAGUACGUCUAAGUUCGGAUUGGAGUCUGCAACUCGACUCCAUGAAGUCGGAAUCGCUAGUAAUCGUAGAUCAGAAUGCUACGGUGAAUACGUUCCCGGGCCUUGUACACACCGCCCGUCACACCAUGGGAGUGGGUUGCACCAGAAGUAGAUAGCUUAACCGCGAGGGGGGCGUUUACCACGGUGUGAUUCAUGACUGGGGUGAAGUCGUAACAAGGUAACCA
RNAcentral lists this ribosomal RNA (751 nucleotides) under uncultured Enterobacteriaceae bacterium. RNAcentral describes it as "bacterial SSU rRNA". It matches the Rfam family "Bacterial small subunit ribosomal RNA", at positions 751 to 1502 of the family's 1533-position model. Lineage: Bacteria; Pseudomonadati; Pseudomonadota; Gammaproteobacteria; Enterobacterales; Enterobacteriaceae. The record is from RNAcentral.